Small nucleolar RNA from Liolophura sinensis, 222 nucleotides. RefSeq annotates it as small nucleolar RNA SNORA53. The transcript has a single exon. Lineage: Eukaryota; Metazoa; Mollusca; Polyplacophora; Chitonida; Chitonidae. The record is from RefSeq and is a predicted model, not a curated record.
UGCACACUCCUUAGAUCCACUUCCAGGAUAAGUUAUCUCCCCUGACCGUCCUUCUUGGAAGGGAAGUAUUGUCCACCAACCUUUGGGUUGAACCAUUGGAAGUGCUUGAGUCAUUGGUGUGCUACAUAAAUAUGCCUCGUUAGGCUGGUUUAUUAGUGCUCAAUAGCCAGGCUUGCCUCUUUAGCUGGGUCAUAUUUGUGCUAAACCAGUCUGCGGGAUAAA